GCCCCGGUAGUAUAGCCCGGUCAAACCCAAGUAUCGAGAGUAUGCCGGCCUUUCGAGUCGGCGACCCGGGUUCGAAUCCCGGCCGGGGCA
RNAcentral lists this transfer RNA (90 nucleotides) under Nitrososphaerota archaeon. RNAcentral's name for it is "tRNA-Glu". It matches the Rfam family "tRNA". From Rfam's summary of the family: Transfer RNA (tRNA) molecules are approximately 80 nucleotides in length. Their secondary structure includes four short double-helical elements and three loops (D, anti-codon, and T loops). The record is from RNAcentral. Lineage: Archaea; Thermoproteati; Nitrososphaerota.